AGUGGAUGGGGAGCAACCUAGUUGUGCGUGUGUAAAGGUAGUGCCAAGAAAAGCGAUGAUCAUGUUGAAAAUCAAUUCCCGGUACCCGAAACCGACACAGGUGGGCAAGUAGAGAAUACUAAGGGGCGCGAGGUAACUCUCUCCAAGGAACUCGGCAAAAUGACCCCGUAACUUAGGGAGAAGGGGUGCCACCGAGAGGUGGUCGCAGUGAAGAGGCCCAGGCGACUGUUUAGCAAAAACAUAGGUCUCUGCAAACUCGAAAGAGGAGGUAUAGGGGCUGACGCCUGCCCAGUGCCGGAAGGUUAAAGAAGUUGGUCAGUUUUAGGAUGAAGCUAGCGACUGAAGCCCCGGUGAACGGCGGCCGUAACUAUAACGGUCCUAAGGUAGCGAAAUUCCUUGUCGGGUAAGUUCCGACCCGCACGAAAGGCGUAACGAUCUGGGCGCUGUCUCGGAGAGAGGCUCGGCGAAAUAGGAUUGUCUGUGAAGAUACGGACUACCUGCAUUUGGACAGAAAGACCCUAUGAAGCUUUACUAUAGCUUGGAAUUGUGUUCGGGCUUCCUGUGCGCAGGAUAGGUGGGAGGCGUAGAAGGUAUUCUUGUGGGGAUACUGGAGCCAACGGUGAGAUACCACUCUCAGGAGGCUAGAAUUCUAACUUAAUUAAGGACAGUUUCAGGUGGGUAGUUUGACUGGGGCGGUCGCCUCCAAAAAGGUAACGGAGGCGUACAAAGGUUCCCUCAGACUGGUUGGAAAUCAGUCGAAGAGUGCAAAGGCAGAAGGGAGCUUGACUGCGAGAAGUACAGUUCGAGCAGGGUGGAAACACGGUCUUAGUGAUCCGACGGUGCUGUGUGGAAGGGCCGUCGCUCAACGGAUAAAAGUUACUCUAGGAUAACAGGCUGAUCUCCCCCAAGAGUUCACAUCGACGGGGAGGUUUGGCACCUCGAUGUCGGCUCAUCGCAACCUGGGGCGGAAGUACGUCCCAAGGGUUGGGCUGUUCGCCCAUUAAAGCGGUACGUGAGCUGGGUUCAGAACGUCGUGAGACAGUUCGGUCCAUAUCCGAUGUAGGCGUGAGAAUAUUGAGAGGAGCCUUCCUUAGUACGAGAGGACCGGGAAGGACGCACCGCUGGUGUACCUGUUAUGAUGCCAAUUGUAAACGCAGGGUAGCCAAGUGCGGAGAGGAUAACCGCUGAAAGCAUCUAAGUGGGAAGCUCACCUCAAGAUGAGUAUUCUGGUGUAAGGUCACGGGAAGACGACCCGUAAGUAGGCACGAGGUGGAAGUGCAGAGAUGUAUGAAGCCGAAGUGUACUAAUAGACCGUCGGCUU
Molecule: ribosomal RNA, 1321 nt
Filed under: metagenome
Description: bacterial LSU rRNA
Rfam family: Bacterial large subunit ribosomal RNA
Source: RNAcentral